GAUGAAGAACGCAGCGAAAUGCGAUACGUAAUGUGAAUUGCAGAAUUCAGUGAAUCAUCGAAUCUUUGAACGCAUAUUGCGCUCUCUGGUAUUCCGGAGAGCAUGCUUGUUUGAGUAUCAGUAAACACCUCAACUCCCCUUUCUUUUUUGAAAUGGGAGCUGGACUUGAGUGAUCCCAACGCUUUUCUCACCGAAAAGUGGCGGGUUACUUGAAAUGCAGGUGCAGCUGGACUUUUCUCUGAGCUAAAAGCAUAUCUAUUUAGUCUGCCUAAAAACAGAUUAUUACCUUUGCUGCAGCUAACAUAAAGGAGAUUAGUUCUUGUGCUGACUGAUGCAGGAUUCACAGAGACAGCUUCGGCUGGCCUUUGUAAACUCGAUCUCAAAUCAAGUAAGACUACCCGCUGAACUUAAGCAUAUCAAUAAGCGGAGGA
Molecule: unclassified non-coding RNA, 431 nt
Filed under: soil metagenome
Description: partial contains 5.8S ribosomal RNA, internal transcribed spacer 2, and large subunit ribosomal RNA
Rfam family: 5.8S ribosomal RNA (bases 1-120)
Source: RNAcentral